UGGGGAAUAUUGCGCAAUGGGCGAAAGCCUGACGCAGCAACGCCGCGUGAGUGAUGAAGGCCUUCGGGUCGUAAAGCUCUGUCGGAGGGAACGAAUGCUCCUGAAGUUAACAGCCUCAGGAGGUGACGGUACCCUCAAAGGAAGCACCGGCUAACUCCGUGCCAGCAGCCGCGGUAAUACGGAGGGUGCGAGCGUUAAUCGGAAUUACUGGGCGUAAAGCGCGCGUAGGCGGCUUUGUAAGUCGGAUGUGAAAGCCCCGGGCUUAACCUGGGAAUUGCAUUCGAUACUGCAUAGCUAGAGUAUGGUAGAGGGUAGCGGAAUUCCGGGUGUAGCGGUGAAAUGCGUAGAUAUCCGGAGGAACACCAGUGGCGAAGGCGGCUACCUGGACCAAUACUGACGCUGAGGCGCGAAAGCGUGGGGAGCAAACAGGAUUAGAUACCCAGGUAGUCCCUGAGCGGGCUGGCAAGGCGCAU
Molecule: ribosomal RNA, 473 nt
Filed under: uncultured bacterium
Lineage: Bacteria
Description: bacterial SSU rRNA
Rfam family: Bacterial small subunit ribosomal RNA
Source: RNAcentral